Molecule: long non-coding RNA, 390 nt
Filed under: Calidris pugnax (ruff)
Lineage: Eukaryota; Metazoa; Chordata; Aves; Charadriiformes; Scolopacidae
Description: lncRNA (ENSCPUG00000002798.1)
Source: RNAcentral
GAUCUGUGGGUUUCUUCUGCAUGCCAUGAACAAUUCAGGGUACAUCUUGCAAAACUUGCAAAAUAAAUAAGAAGCUGCAGGUUAGCCUGGAAAUUCAGUGCAAGACCUUUAAAAGAGGAGGAAAUAAAAUGCUCUCCUUUGGGAAGUUACAAUGCUGCUCCUCCCUCCCGUGGUUCUGGCAGAGAUGAAUUCAUGGAAUCAGUUUUGCAGAGGGAAGCUGCAGCAGUCUCAAGGUCUUGCAGUGGUGUUCAAUGUACGUGAGCUGCUCUGUUUCAUAUUCUUACCCAGCCAAAAGAUUGUUUGCAAUUUUUGUAAUUUUAUUAUUUAUCUUUUGCAUUCACAGGUUUUCUUAACGCUCCAGCUGCUGAAGCCGUUACCAGAAAGGAUGGG